RNAcentral lists this RNase P RNA (304 nucleotides) under Elizabethkingia argenteiflava. RNAcentral describes it as "Bacterial RNase P class A". It matches the Rfam family "Bacterial RNase P class A". Rfam says of the family: Ribonuclease P (RNase P) is a ubiquitous endoribonuclease, found in archaea, bacteria and eukarya as well as chloroplasts and mitochondria. The record is from Rfam by way of RNAcentral. Lineage: Bacteria; Pseudomonadati; Bacteroidota; Flavobacteriia; Flavobacteriales; Weeksellaceae.
GACAAGCGCGGCCUGUUGAUCCUUUAAGGGUAGGAAAGUCCUGACACCAAAGGGCAACAUAGCGGUUAAUGGCCGUCAUCCGCGAGGAUAGGACAAGUGCAACAGAAAGCAAGUACAGUUCGGCUGUAGUGAAAUCAGGUAAACUCUAUGUGGUGCAAUGCAAUGUAUACCGGCAAUUAAGGGCAGCCCGCCCAAUGCCGUGGGGUAAGCAGCUACAUUGUGUUUGUAACUAUACAGUGAGAUAAAUAACAGGCACCUCUCUUCUAAGGGUGUACAGAAUCCGGCUUAUAUCGCUUGUCUUUUU